UUGACCUCAGAUCAGGGCAGAUUACCC
Molecule: ribosomal RNA, 27 nt
Filed under: Lepidisis olapa
Lineage: Eukaryota; Metazoa; Cnidaria; Anthozoa; Scleralcyonacea; Keratoisididae
Also listed under: 2 other names
Description: partial 28S ribosomal RNA
Source: RNAcentral